ACCUCCGGACUGGGGUUCGCAAGCCUCACGGCGAACGUACCUCGGGAAGUUGGUUAAACCUCACUAUUUAGAGGAAGGUGAAGUCGUAACAAGGUCUCCGUAGGUGAACCUGCAGAAGGAUC
Molecule: ribosomal RNA, 122 nt
Filed under: Aureococcus anophagefferens
Lineage: Eukaryota; Pelagophyceae; Pelagomonadales; Pelagomonadaceae
Description: partial small subunit ribosomal RNA
Rfam family: Eukaryotic small subunit ribosomal RNA
Source: RNAcentral